This 495-nucleotide ribosomal RNA is filed under the name uncultured bacterium. Its description in RNAcentral is "partial 16S ribosomal RNA". It matches the Rfam family "Bacterial small subunit ribosomal RNA", at positions 28 to 507 of the family's 1533-position model. The record is from RNAcentral.
GACGAACGCUGGCAGCGUGCCUAAUACAUGCAAGUAGAACGCUGAAGGAGGAGCUUGCUUCUCUGGAUGAGUUGCGAACGGGUGAGUAACGCGUAGGUAACCUGCCUGGUAGCGGGGGAUAACUAUUGGAAACGAUAUCUAAUACCGCAUAAGAGUAGAUGUUGCAUGACAUUUGCUUAAAAGGUGCAAUUGCAUCACUACCAUAUGGACCUGCGUUGUAUUAGCUAGUUGGUGGGGUAACGGCUCACCAAGGCGACGAUACAUAGCCGACCUGAGAGGGUGAACGGCCACACUGGGACUGAGACACGGCCCAGACUCCUACGGGAGGCAGCAGUAGGGAAUCUUCGGCAAUAGACGGAAGGCUGACCGAGCAAAGCCGCGUGAGAGAAGAAGGUUUUCGGAUCGUAAAGCUCUGUUGUAAGAGAAGAACGAGUGUGAGAGUGGAAAGUUCACACUGUGACGGUAUCUUACCAGAAAGGGACGGCUAACUACGUG